RNAcentral lists this transfer RNA (69 nucleotides) under Bothriometopus macrocnemis. Its description in RNAcentral is "tRNA-Trp". The record is from RNAcentral. Lineage: Eukaryota; Metazoa; Arthropoda; Insecta; Psocodea; Philopteridae.
AAAGCAAUAAGUUAAUCAAGAAACUAAACUAUUACCGUUCAAAGGUAAAAAUGGUGUGGCCUUGCUUUA